UACGUAGGGUGCAAGCGUUGUCCGGAAUUAUUGGGCGUAAAGAGCUCGUAGGCGGUUUGUUGCGUCGGCUGUGAAAUCCCGAGGCUCAACCUCGGGUCUGCAGUCGAUACGAGCAAACUAGAGUGUUGCAGGGGAGACUGGAAUUCCUGGUGUAGCGGUGAAAUGCGCAGAUAUCAGGAGGAACACCGGUGGCGAAGGCGGGUCUCUGGGCAACAACUGACGCUGAGGCACGAAGGUCAGGGGAGCAAACGGG
This 253-nucleotide ribosomal RNA is filed under the name uncultured bacterium. RNAcentral's name for it is "partial 16S ribosomal RNA". It matches the Rfam family "Bacterial small subunit ribosomal RNA", at positions 524 to 776 of the family's 1533-position model. The record is from RNAcentral.